RNAcentral lists this ribosomal RNA (468 nucleotides) under uncultured bacterium. RNAcentral's name for it is "partial 16S ribosomal RNA". It matches the Rfam family "Bacterial small subunit ribosomal RNA", at positions 28 to 507 of the family's 1533-position model. The record is from RNAcentral.
GACGAACGCUGGCGGCGUGCUUAACACAUGCAAGUCGAACGGACAGACCCUGCUUUUGCGGGGUGCUCGAGUGGCGAACGGGUGAGUAACACGCGAGUAACCUGCCCUUGACUUUGGGAUAACUUCACGAAACUGGGGCUCAUACCGGAUAGGAGCUCCUGCUGCAUGGGGUGGGUUGGAAAGAUUCGGCUGUUUGGGAUGGACUCGCGGCUUAUCAGCUUGUUAGUGUGGUAGGUGCUUACCACGGCUUUGACGGCUAGCCGGCAUGAGAGGGUUACCGGCGACAUGACGACUGAGAUACGGCGCAGUAGGGUACGGUAGGCAGCGGGGGGGAAUAUUGCGCAAUAGGGCGAAGCGUGAUGCGGCAACGCCGCGAGCGGGAUGACGGCUUUCGGGUGGUGAACCAAUUUGGCAGGUGACGAGGCGGGAGUGACGGUAAUGGGUAAGGAAGCACCGGCUAACUACGUG